This 501-nucleotide ribosomal RNA is filed under the name uncultured bacterium. RNAcentral describes it as "partial 16S ribosomal RNA". It matches the Rfam family "Bacterial small subunit ribosomal RNA", at positions 30 to 523 of the family's 1533-position model. The record is from RNAcentral.
AUUGAACGCUGGCGGCAGGCUUAACACAUGCAAGUCGAGCGGGGGAAGGUAGCUUGCUACCGGACCUAGCGGCGGACGGGUGAGUAAUGCUUAGGAAUCUGCCUAUUAGUGGGGGACAACAUCUCGAAAGGGAUGCUAAUACCGCAUACGUCCUACGAGAGAAAGCAGGGGAUCUUCGGACCUUGCGCUAAUAGAUGAGCCUAAGUCAGAUUAGGUAGUUGGUGGGGUAAAGGCCUACCAAGGCGACGAUCUGUAGCGGGUCUGAGAGGAUGAUCCGCCACACUGGGACUGAGACACGGCCCAGACUCCUACGGGAGGCAGCAGUGGGGAAUAUUGGACAAUGGGGGGAACCCUGAUCCAGCCAUGCCGCGUGUGUGAAGAAGGCCUUAUGGUUGUAAAGCACUUUAAGCGAGGAGGAGGCUACUUUAGUUAAUACCUAGAGAUAGUGGACGUUACUCGCAGAAUAAGCACCGGCUAACUCUGUGCCAGCAGCCGCCGUAA